RNAcentral lists this ribosomal RNA (377 nucleotides) under Ixchela taxco. RNAcentral's name for it is "partial 16S ribosomal RNA". It matches the Rfam family "Bacterial large subunit ribosomal RNA", at positions 1920 to 2577 of the family's 2925-position model. Lineage: Eukaryota; Metazoa; Arthropoda; Arachnida; Araneae; Pholcidae. The record is from RNAcentral.
AAUAUAAAUAGCUGCAAACUUAUUUGUACUAAGGUAGCAUAAUCAUUAGCUUUUUAAUUAAAAGAUAGAAUGAAAGGUUAAACGAAAUAUUUCCUGUCUCUAACAUUAACAACGAAAUUAAAAUAAAAGUAAAAAUUCUUUUAUAGACAAGAAGGACGACAAGACCCUGAUAAACUCAUUCAUUUUGCUGGGGCGGCAACAAAAAAAAACCUUAAUUUUCUAUAAUAUAAACACUCCUAUUAAAAACUAAUCAAGAUAUAGUUACUACAGGGAUAACAGCGCAAUCUUUUUUAAAAGAACACAUUCAAAAAAAGCUUUACGACCUCGAUGUUGAAUUAAUUUUUUCUUUUAAGAGCAAAAUCCUUAACAAGAAGGUC